This 318-nucleotide ribosomal RNA is filed under the name uncultured bacterium. RNAcentral's name for it is "bacterial SSU rRNA". It matches the Rfam family "Bacterial small subunit ribosomal RNA", at positions 30 to 345 of the family's 1533-position model. The record is from RNAcentral.
AUUGAACGCUGGCGGCAUGCCUUACGCAUGCAAGUCGAACGGCAGCGCGGGGGCAACCUGGCGGCGAGUGGCGAACGGGUGAGUAACAUAUCGGAACAUACCCUAGAGUGGGGGAUAACGUAGCGAAAGUUACGCUAAUACCGCAUACGCACUAAGGUGGAAAGUGGGGGAUCUUCGGACCUCAUGCUCAUGGAGUGGCCGAUAUCUGAUUAGCUAGUUGGUGAGGUAAAGGCGUUCACCCAAAGGCGACGAUCAGUAGCUGGUUUGAGAGAACGACCAGCCACACUGGAACUGAGACACGGUCCAGACUCCUACGGA